Pogona vitticeps (central bearded dragon) is the source of this 573-nucleotide non-coding RNA. NCBI's taxonomy places the organism in Eukaryota, Metazoa, Chordata, Lepidosauria, Squamata, Agamidae. The record is from RefSeq and is a predicted model, not a curated record.
GAAGAUAUGGAAGAGAGCAGAAAAGCUGCCUCGGGUGUGUGGGCAAGGGGGAAUGUUAGAAAUCAUCAGAAAUCAGACAGUCCCUGCACAUAGGAUGACAUGCUGAAAAUCUGACACGAAAGGGGAAAAGGUUUGAAAUGAAGGGGAAAACAGAAAGGUUGAAAAGCGCUCCCUCUCCCCUCUUUGGAGUUCAUACAAAGGAAUUCCAGGGAGAUUCAGAAACAGACCAAACCCAAGUUUCAUCCAGAUGGACAAUUCGAGUACCUUCUUACAGCCCUGAGUGAGAACUUCUGAUUCAGUGGAUCUUGGUGGUGGUUGUGGCAUUCCUAUGCACUCACACAGAGAACAUAGCUCAGAGGAGCCCUACAGGUAACAGCCAUAGUGUCAAACAGGAGCCUCCCAGCUCCACAUUCUGAGUUCACCUUUCCAGGAAGGAUCUCGAUAAUCCAUUUCUUCCGUCAACACUUGGAGCUGAGAAGGCAUCAUAUGUACUGUAUCCCUGUUCUGCCCAGGAAUGGAACAUUAAAGACUAGCUGUUUGUUAUCUAGUAUGAUGGGAUUCAAGGAAGGGAUU